Homo sapiens (human) is the source of this 2774-nucleotide long non-coding RNA. Ensembl annotates it as RNASEH2B antisense RNA 1. Its record names the gene RNASEH2B-AS1. The record is from Ensembl. Lineage: Eukaryota; Metazoa; Chordata; Mammalia; Primates; Hominidae.
GGGCUAGAAUGCAGUGACAUGAACACGGCUCACUGCAGCCUCAACCUCCCAGGCUCAAGCAAUCUUUCCACCUCACCCUCCUGAGUAGCUAGGACUAUAGGCAUGUGCCACCACACCCAGCUAAUUUUUUCUUUAAAUUUUUUUGUAGAGAGAGGGUCUCCCUAUGUUGCCCAGGCUCAAGAUGGCCUUCUAAUGGAGCCAAUAUCUAUCUAUUCAUUCAACAUAUUGCAAAUAAACUUUGGAAAUAAACCAGUUAUAUGAAAUAAAGAAGUAAAUAAAUUAUUAAAUAAAUGGCCUUACUUUAUUCUGUCUCCUCUGCAGGCUUCUGCAAAAGACUUGAGACAGCUCACAAUGAAGUACUCUGUAUUAGGCAGGGUAAUAUUGAUUGCAAGUGACAGAAACCCAAUCAGAAACUCACUGGAGUCAUGAGGAACACUUAUUGGCUCAGAGUAAAGGCAAAAUAGACCUUCAGAGAAAUAAAGUCUGGGAAAUUGACUAGAUCCUCACUGAAAGAACUACUAAAGGAUGUACUUAUGGAAGAAGAAAAUUACAAAGUGAAAGAACUGGGAUGCAAGAAGUAAUGUUCCCAACAUGAUGUGAACAACAUCUGUGCUGGUUGAAUGAAUGAAUGGUGUUGAAAGCAUCUACAUCAGGGGUGUCCAAUCUUUCAGCUUCCCUGGGCUACACUGGAAGAAGAAUAAUUUUCUUGCACCACAUAUAAAAUACACUAACACUACUGAUAGCUGAUGAGCUAAAAAAAAAAAAUCGCAAAAAAAUCUCAUGUUUUAAGAAAGUUUAUGAAUUUGUGUUGGGCCACAUCCAAAGCCAUCCUGGGCUGCAUGCAGCCUGCAGGCCAUGGGUUGGACAAGCUUGACUACAGCUUUAAAGUGAUCUUAAUCUAAUCAAUUCUUCCCCAUUCAGAAGAAACCUACUACAUCAGAGUCUAUUGAGAAUCUAUCUCCCUAAUCACCCUCAGGCACAGGGUUAUUAUGUAUUGAUAUCAUACACACUAAAAAAUUCCAUCAUACAGGUCUAGAAAUACUUCCAUAAUACAGUAAUAUUUUAAUAGAGUCAUAACACACAGACAGCCACCCAUUCUGCCUGUAGCCAGUCAUGGAGCAAUACAUUUUGUACAUAACCUGUAAUUUCUUCUGGAGAGUGUAAUUACAAUGCCAAUAUGACAUUUUAUUUUUAUUAUUAUUAUUUAGUUAGUUAGUUAGUUACUUUUUGAGACAGAGUCUCACUCUGUCGCCAGGCUGGAGUGCAGUGGUGUGAUCUCGGCUCACUGCAACCUCUGCCUCCCGGGUUCAAGUGAUUCUUCUGCCUCAGCCUCCCGAGUAGCUGGGACUAUGGGUGCCCACCACCACACCUGGCUAAUUUUUGUAUUUUUAGUAGAGAUGGGGUUUCACCAUGUUAGCCAGGAUGGUCUAGGGGUUGAUAAACUACAGUGCACAGGCCAAAUCUGGUUUACUGCCUGAUUUUGUAAAUAAAGUUUUAUUGGAACACAGCCUUGCCCAUUUAUUUACUUAUUGUCUCUGACUGCUUUCAUGCUACAAUAGAGUAGUUGCAACAGAAACUAUAGUCUGCAAAGCCUAAACUAUUUACAACCUGGACCUUUAGAGAAAGUUUGCUGACUCUUUUUUUAAUGGAUAAACUAAAAGUAUGUAAGUAAACAUGAUUUCAUGUCUUAUGAUAUGUCAGGUGAAUGGUACAAUCCUUUGGUUUAAGUUCUUAGUAUUAUACCUAAAGUAUAUCUACCAUGAAAUGCAUUUUCCACCUUUCAUAGUCUCAGCUGGUUAAUCAAAAUAAAUGGAUUCUAUGGCAUAAUUCAGGAUGUUACCAUUUUUGCUUUUUAGAUCAGCUCUUCACCCACUGUUUUCCUGUCAUACACAUGGUGUUCUUAAAAUUGUAAAUGAAAACUCAUUUGAACUUACAUUAGUAACUUCUGUUAAAUUAUACUGGAUUGCUUAUUAAGUAAGCAUUAUUAUCCACAUUAAAUCUGUCACAGAUGAAAAAAUUACACAUAAAGGAGACUGCUUGAGGCCCCAGGGCAUGCUGUAAUAUACAUAGAGGCUCCUGAAUACUUGGUUUUCCAUGUGGAUCUCUGAUUUUGCUGAAAGAAGUCUGUAAACUGAUGUAGUCAGACAGCUCCCCACUGGCUACACAUCUCUAUAGAAUUUAGAAGCAUUGUUUAUUUCAGCAGAGGUCUGGAAUGAAUUUUCCUUAUAAUUUAACUCCUGAAAUGACUGUUUCAAAAGGUCAACUGUGGUGAACUUGCAUAUGUGACUUGCAGUCACAGCUAAGUCACGAUCCCUUAGUUUUUCCAGAAGUCCACUAGAACGUUAGCUCCAUGGCACUGUUAUCUUGCAUCUCCAGGUCCUGAAACAGCCCUUAGUGCAUACUAGGUAUUCAAUAACUUUUUUUUGAAUAAAUGUUUUAUGUAAAUUCCAUCACAAAUAUGGAAGAUCUUAGAGGGGAUUUUUGAAAACCAAAGAAAGUUGAAACUCCUUCACAUGGAGUUUGGAUGUUGAACUUAGAGGCUUGACUUAGCCAUUUUUAAAAAACGAAAUGUGUGUGUAUGUUUAUUUAAGGUACCUUAGUGACAGGUACAACCUACAGCCCAAAGACAAUGUACAAAACCCAAUGAGGGGACAAGCCUCCACUCUUUUAUAAGAUGCAGAAAUUUGCAGGAGUCUAUCACUCUUACUCUAACCAUGAGAACAGACCAGAAGCACUACAAAUGACAGUUUUAUUUGUUGUUGCUUUCAUUUGCA